AGGUGGGAGAAGAAGAAUUGUGAAAAAGGUGGCUUUGGAAAGCAUAUUUCCUCCUCCACACUAGGAUAACCUUAGAGUUAAACAAUCAUUUUGGUUUCAUGUAUUUUCUAGUGUCAUUUGUGACCUUUGUUACUCGGUCACAUAGACUUCUUAGCGCUUACCGUAGGCGGGGAAAUACAAAUGUUAUUUUCUUGGCCUCUUAUCUGACAGUGGUUUGCAUCUUCAAAAAGGUAUUUUUGAGAUCUCCCAAAUUGGAAAAUCUUUGCCCAGUGCAAAACCAAAGUUUUAAAUCUAGUAUUUUAACAGACUGUGACUGUGAUACUGGAUUGAAAUGUUAAAAAAGCCUUUUGAAUAUGUGAAACAGCUGCCAGAUAAUAGGUAAAAAACAUAACUCCCUUCAAUCAAGUCAUGCAGAGUGGGGAUUUCCCCAAAAAUGAAUCCCCAGCAAACUUUAAUAAACCUAUAAGGUAAUUUAAGGAAACUUCUGAAGGUAUUUCCAGAAUCAUUAAAUACCUUUUUUCCCCAUCUGGAUAAAAAAAUAACAUUCUAUCUGCUAAAUGUCAAAAAUGGUAGCUGGGUUGCUCAGUUUUAUAGCUAUAGUUUUGGUACAUUUUGUGUUUUUAAAAAAUGAGCCUGGAUAUAUGUAAUUUCCGAUUACCGGUAACUUAAUUAUGUAAGGCAGUUGUUAUUAUCAUCAAGAUAGUUUGAAGAGUCUUUGAGGAUUCUGGAAAUAUCUGUUGUUAAACAACCUGCUGGGUUUUUCAAAGAUGACGAUCGGAUUAACCGUAGUAGUCAAACCAUUUGUUUAAAAAAUUGUAUAGGGAUGUAAGGGAUCUGGAUAUUGGGCCACCGCAGAUUAGCAUUAUAAUGAACAAAGCAGCCAUUUACUAAAAUGUGGCUACUUGCAUAGGUGCUAGAUUGGAUCUGCUAGACGUGUGAACAUCAUGACAUGCCUCGUGGCCUGCCUUAUUCUGUCUCCAGUUGGCUUACCCUGCUAUUCUUUCCCUAACCAAUCCCCACUCCUCAUGCUUAAACCUAACCACGUCUAGCGGAUUCAAUCUAGCAUUUACCCACUUUGGCCACCCCCAAGCUACUGUUUCCAUGUUUUCAGCCCCACACAUAUUUCGAAAUAGAUUUAAGUUACUUAUGUUAUUACAAUGAAAGUGAUAUAUAAAUGAAAGGAAAAAUCCACAAUGUAUAGUUAUAACUGGAUUUAACUGUAGCAUGCAUAUGCAAGUACAGUUAACUUAAAUAACAUAGGCAAUGUAACAAUUUUAAGUAAAUUUACUUUUGUCAUUAACUAUUCUACAAAAAGAGACUGCUGGCACAUUCUUGCUCAGAGAAGCAGAAGCCUGUGCACUGUAGUGCAGCCUUCUUACACCUGCAGCAAUUCUUGUAGACACAAGUGAUAAGCUGGUGGCAUGAUUUUGAUGCUUGUGGCAACAUCCAGUGGAGCUUAUACAUUCCUUCAGUCUUCACCCACCCCCAGUCAGAUGGUGAUGGCAGCACAUGGUCUGGUAGCAGUGUUUCCCCCCCCCCCCUCCCCCCCACGUGUGAUGUGUCCACCCUGGUAGACUGCUCUCUUGACAUGUUCCACCAGAGCAGCUCAGUGACGUGUUUGGACCGCUCACCUUGCUGUAAUGGCUGCUGUCGGUGGAACUCCAGCGGAGCCACGAUGAAGCUGGUCUGGCCCAGCGGGUUCCAGUGAUGCAGCACCCUCAGCAUCCACAAGCCGGGCCUCAAGGGCAGGGACAGCUAGGUGAGAAAGGCGAGAGAGAGGGGGAAGACGUGCAGGAAAUUGUCACAGGUCGGAUUCGAACCCUGGACCUCUGCGUCGAGGCAUAAACCUCUCCGUAUAUGUGCGCCUACUCUACCCACUGACUCCAAACCGGCCUCAAGAGAGAUAUUUGCUUUUCAACUGACCGCAACAAAGUGCAGAUGUUAAAUCUGUGCUUUACAUCUUUAUAAAUAAAACACUUAAAUUGAGUGAAUAUAAAAUGUGCACAGACAACACGAGCUACUGGUCAAAACAAAUGUGUCAAAUUUCUGAAGUCCUUGUUGGAGUGUGUCCGUGUGUGUGUGUCUGACCUGGAUGUGCUGUAGC
Long non-coding RNA from Perca fluviatilis (European perch), 2104 nucleotides. RefSeq lists it as uncharacterized. The record is from RefSeq and is a predicted model, not a curated record. NCBI's taxonomy places the organism in Eukaryota, Metazoa, Chordata, Actinopteri, Perciformes, Percidae. The transcript has 3 exons.